RNAcentral lists this long non-coding RNA (1094 nucleotides) under Strigops habroptila (Kakapo). Its description in RNAcentral is "lncRNA (ENSSHBG00005018384.1)". Lineage: Eukaryota; Metazoa; Chordata; Aves; Psittaciformes; Psittacidae. The record is from RNAcentral.
UAAUCCAAUUAAAAUUUUAUUAAUUAUAGCAAGUAGAAUAUGAGCAAAAACAGUGCUGGACGACAGGGGAGUCUGCGCUCCGCCAACUGCCGUCCUGAGCAGUUCAAACAGUCCCUUUUUAUACAUCUUUACUUCCGUGUUCAUGAAGUAGUGGAGGUACUCUGCGCAUGCUUCAGUUGUUGUUAGGGGGUCGUUUUCUGCCUCCUGGUGGUCGUUGAGGCCGAAGUAAGAAGUCUUCCUCCUUUGUCCCAUAGUUGACCCCUCAUUCAUAUGUCCUUAUAUGGGGUUGUUUGUCCUGUUUCUGUCGGUUCCUGGAAGUCUGGCGGUUAUCUCGCGAUUGUGGUUAUCUUAUUUUAGUCAAGCGGUGUCUGGUAGCUGUUUGCAUAAGCGAUUUCACAUCUUUUGUUGCCUAACCUUUACAUUGAGCUUAACAUAAAUCUUAAUAAACAAUAUCCUAGUCCAUAGUUUCUCACAAGACCACUACUUGAAUUUACACUGAUUAAGCUAUAUAAAGUUUUACAAUCUGCAUGACACUUCAAUCAACAUUUUAUUGUAUAGAUUAAGCUAAAAAGUCUACACAGGCAUACCUACUGAGUGGCUACAAAAAAUAUAGAAAUUCUCUUGUUGCAAGGAACUACAUGGAGAAGAUGUGAGAAACUAUGGACUAGGAUAUUGUUUAUUAAGAUUUAUGUUAAGCUCAAUGUAAAGGUUAGGCAACAAAGAUGUGAAAUCGCUUAUGCAAACAGAAACCCAGACACUGCUUGAGUAAGAUAAGAUAACCACAAUCGCGAGAUAACCGCCAGACUUCCAGGAACCGACAGAAACAGGACAAACAACCCCAGAUAAGGACAUGUGAAUGAGGGGUCAACUAUGGGAUAAAGGAGAAAGACUUCUUAUUUCGGCCUCAACGACCACCAGGAGGUAGAAAACGAUCCCCUAACAACAACUGAAGCAUGCGCAGAGUACCUCCACUACUUCAUGAACACGGAAGUAAAGAUGUAUAAAAAGGGACUGUUUGAACUGCUCAGCACGGCAGUGGCGGAGCGCAGACUCCCCUGUCGUCCAGCGCUGUUUUUGCUCAUAUUCUACUUGCU